GCCUGGCUCCUCCUCUCCUAGACCCAUUUAAGAGCUGACUGCCAGUGGGGAAGGAUCUCUCUGGAGAUCUGCUCUACUGGAGUCUAUUUUGCAAACCUAGGAUAGGGAUGCAACUCAGCCUUGCACCAUCUCAUUGCAGCAGGCCCUUGGGAAAGAAGACUGUCAAGGGUGUGGCUAUAAGGAUGUGCCUGCCAAACCUGAAACAUGGAAGUUCAGCCACCUACAGAACUUAAUUCUUUUUAUGUUCAGAGACGAUUCAUAUUGGAAGGAAUGGGAGAAAAGAAAUUUCUGUCAAUGCUUUCAGAAGGGGAACUGGCUUCUCUCGUAUUGGAAGUAACAUAAGGAGAAGAAGAACACAACAAUGCUGUAUAGAAGAUAAGGAUUUCUUGCUCUUCUGGUAUUUUGCAAUCAUUACCAUCACCUACAAUGGAAGCUGAGAAAAUCCAGGAAGAGAAAUGGGGCAUUUAAAGAGGAGUAUUUCAAAAUUUCAUAGCAGUCUUACUUUUAAAGUUUGUUUCCUUUCUUACUUAAACUCUCUUUAAUGGCAUAUUAUUGUAAAUAGGCAUCACACUAUCUUCACUGAAGUUCACUCAUCACCACCAGGUCAUUGUUUAUCUUUCUCCUUUGCCUUGAACUUGGCUGCUUGCUGCAGUCACUAUUCCAGUUGGUUGAGUUUGAGUGUUGCUGAAAUUUCCUUAAUGUCUGUUUUGACUUCUUAUCUGUUACGUACCACACAGUACUAACCAAAUAUCAUCUGUUUACAAAAACUUUUGCCUCGUGUAUGGUAUCUCUAUGUUCAGAUUAGCUGAUCCACCAUUUGCUGUUAAGUAAUCUCUGCAAGUGUCCUACAGCAGGAAGCACUUAACUUGAAUAAAAUGGAAGGGAAAAAAGUACAAAACUGUUCACAUGACUGCAAUUUUACCUUUUGCCAAAACUUGAGUAGCAAGCUAUGAAAAGUUGUUUCUCCUGAGGAGAAAGUAUGGAUUCAGAUAGUCUAGAAAGAAACCACCUUGAAUGAAUUCAGAUAAAUAAAGGAAAAGAGGGCAAUAAUUGAUGAUGACCAGCUAAAGAGAAUACCGGAGAAAAAAAUUAUUUUAAAGAGCAUUUGCUUUGUAUGACUUGAUCAUAAGGAGAAAGUUGUUAUGGAAAAUCUGGAACUUUCCACAUUUUUUACAGAUACGCUGGGUUUGCCAUAAUUUUCUGUUUUGGCCAUCAUAAUGAUGAACCUCACAGACCAUUCCGAUGGGUUAUUUCACCUGUCCAACAGUUUCCAGGUCAUUAAAGGAUUUACUUCCAAAAAGGAAACAAAAAUAUCUGCUCUCUUAAGUUAAAAUUCAGAAAGUCACCUUUUUCUCCGUACACUCAAAAGGCCCACAAGAACACCAUGCACUUUUAUUCAAAUUACUUAUUUUAGAUGAAAGCAAGCAUGUGAGAAAGAAUAAAUGUCAAAAGUGUAAAAGUCAGCUCAUUUCAUAUAUUUCUUUUGGGAUUGGCUAUCUUAGCUCUAUAUUACAGCAUGACAAACUUCAUACAGAUGCCAUACUUAAUCGGAGGGCUGGAUGUAGUCAAAACAAAAGAUGACCAACAGUGAACAGAGCCCCACUGUGAAAGGACACACUGAAGGAGAUAAGAGUCCUUGUCCCUUCUGUUUCCAACAGAACAAAGCAAAUUUUUUCAAAAAAUAACCCAUUUCUAGCAAAGAUUUCUACCCAGGUGUUGUGUUAAAAAUAACAUUUGUUA
Molecule: non-coding RNA, 1740 nt
Organism: Meleagris gallopavo (turkey)
Lineage: Eukaryota; Metazoa; Chordata; Aves; Galliformes; Phasianidae
Source: RefSeq, a predicted model, not a curated record